Molecule: long non-coding RNA, 149 nt
Organism: Gopherus evgoodei (Goodes thornscrub tortoise)
Lineage: Eukaryota; Metazoa; Chordata; Testudines; Testudinidae
Exons: 3
Source: RefSeq, a predicted model, not a curated record
UAGAGCAGUGCAAUAAUCUGGAGUCGGAUGCACUGGCCAGGUAAACAGGAAAAGCCCCAUAAACUUUUGAGUUUCAUUUCUUGUUCGCCCAGUGUGGAGAGAUCAUCAGCACAGGUGACCACGCAGAGCUCAUCAGGUAACAAUGCAGU